GACGAACGCUGGCGGCGUGCUUAACACAUGCAAGUCGAACGGAAAGGCCCUGCUUUUGUGGGGUGCUCGAGUGGCGAACGGGUGGGUAACACGUGAGUAACCUGCCCUUGACUUUGGGAUAACUUCAGGAAACUGGGGCUAAUACCGGAUAGGAGCUCCUGCUGCAUGGUGGGGGUUGGAAAGUUUCGGCGGUUGGGGAUGGACCCGCGGCUUAUCAGCUUGUUGGUGGGGUAGUGGCUUACCAAGGCUUUGACGGGUAGCCGGCCUGAGAGGGUGACCGGCCACAUUGGGACUGAGAUACGGCCCAGACUCCUACGGGAGGCAGCAGUGGGGAAUAUUGCACAAUGGGCGGAAGCCUGAUGCAGCAACGCCGCGUGCGGGAUGACGGCCUUCGGGUUGUAAACCGCUUUCGCCUGUGACGAAGCGUGAGUGACGGUAAUGGGUAAAGAAGCACCGGCUAACUACGUGCCAGCAGCCGCGGUGAUACGUAGGGUGCGAGCGUUGUCCGGAUUUAUUGGGCGUAAAGGGCUCGUAGGUGGUUGAUCGCGUCGGAAGUGUAAUCUUGGGGCUUAACCCUGAGCGUGCUUUCGAUACGGGUUGACUUGAGGAAGGUAGGGGAGAAUGGAAUUCCUGGUGGAGCGGUGGAAUGCGCAGAUAUCAGGAGGAACACCAGUGGCGAAGGCGGUUCUCUGGGCCUUUCCUGACGCUGAGGAGCGAAAGCGUGGGGAGCGAACAGGCUUAGAUACCCUGGUAGUCCACGCUGUAAACGGUGGGUACUAGGUGUGGGGUCCAUUCCACGGGUUCCGUGCCGUAGCUAACGCUUUAAGUACCCCGCCUGGGGAGUACGGCCGCAAGGCUAAAACUCAAAGGAAUUGACGGGGCCCCGCACAAGCGGCGGAGCAUGCGGAUUAAUUCGAUGCAACGCGUAGAACCUUACCUGGGUUUGACAUGGAUCGGGAGUGCUCAGAGAUGGGUGUGCCUCUUUUGGGGUCGGUUCACAGGUGGUGCAUGCCUGUCGUCAGCUCGUGUCGUGAGAUGUUGGGUUAAGUCCCGCAACGAGCGCAACCCUUGUUCACUGUUGCCAGCACGUUAUGGUGGGGACUCAGUGGAGACCGCCGGGGUCAACUCGGAGGAAGGUGGGGAUGACGUCAAGUCAUCAUGCCCCUUAUGUCCAGGGCUUCACGCAUGCUACAAUGGCUGGUACAGAGAGUGGCGAGCCUGUGAGGGUGAGCGAAUCUCGGAAAGCCGGUCUCAGUUCGGAUUGGGGUCUGCAACUCGACCUCAUGAAGUCGGAGUCGCUAGUAAUCGCAGAUCAGCAACGCUGCGGUGAAUACGUUCCCGGGGCU
RNAcentral lists this ribosomal RNA (1346 nucleotides) under uncultured bacterium. RNAcentral describes it as "partial 16S ribosomal RNA". It matches the Rfam family "Bacterial small subunit ribosomal RNA", at positions 28 to 1381 of the family's 1533-position model. The record is from RNAcentral.